UCAGAUUGAACGCUGGCGUUAUGACUUACACAUGCAAGUCGAACGGCAGCACGGGUGCUUGCACCUGGUGGCGAGUGGCGAACGGGUGAGUAAUACAUCGGAACAUGUCCUGUAGUGGGGGAUAGCCCGGCGAAAGCCGGAUUAAUACCGCAUACGAUCUACGGAUGAAAGCGGGGGACCUUCGGGCCUCGCGCUAUAGGGUUGGCCGAUGGCUGAUUAGCUAGUUGGUGGGGUAAAGGCCUACCAAGGCGACGAUCAGUAGCUGGUCUGAGAGGACGACCAGCCACACUGGGACUGAGACACGGCCCAGACUCCUACUUUAGGCAGCAGUGGGGAAUUUUGGACAAUGGGCGAAAGCCUGAUCCAGCAAUGCCGCGUGUGUGAAGAAGGCCUUCGGGUUGUAAAGCACUUUUGUCCGGAAAGAAAUCCUUGGCUCUAAUACAGUCGGGGGAUGACGGUACCGGAAGAAUAAGCACCGGCUAACUACGUGCCAGCAGCCGCGGUAAUACGUAGGGUGCGAGCGUUAAUCGGAAUUACUGGGCGUAAAGCGUGCGCAGGCGGUUUGCUAAGACCGAUGUGAAAUCCCCGGGCUCAACCUGGGAACUGCAUUGGUGACUGGCAGGCUAGAGUAUGGCAGAGGGGGGUAGAAUUCCACGUGUAGCAGUGAAAUGCGUAGAGAUGUGGAAGAAUACCGAUGGCCAAAGCAGGCCCCCUGGGCCAAUACUGACGCUCAUGCACGAAAGCGUGGGGAGCAACCAGGAUUAGAUACCCUGGUAGUCCACGCCCUAAACGAUGUCAACUAGUUGUGGGGAUUCAUUUCCUUUAGUAACGUAGCUAACGCGUGAAGUUGACCGCCUGGGGAGUACGGUCGCAAGAUUAAAACUCAAAGGAAUUGACGGGGACCCGCACAAGCGGUGGAUGAUGUGGAUUAAUUCGAUGCAACGCGAAAAACCUUACCUACCCUUGACAUGGUCGGAAUCCCGCUGAGAGGUGGGAGUGCUCGAAAGAGAACCGGCGCACAGGUGCUGCAUGGCUGUCGUCAGCUCGUGUCGUGAGAUGUUGGGUUAAGUCCCGCAACGAGCGCAACCCUUGUCCUUAGUUGCUACGCAAGAGCACUCUAAGGAGACUGCCGGUGACAAACCGGAGGAAGGUGGGGAUGACGUCAAGUCCUCAUGGCCCUUAUGGGUAGGGCUUCACACGUCAUACAAUGGUCGGAACAGAGGGUUGCCAACCCGCGAGGGGGAGCUAAUCCCAGAAAACCGAUCGUAGUCCGGAUUGCACUCUGCAACUCGAGUGCAUGAAGCUGGAAUCGCUAGUAAUCGCGGAUCAGCAUGCCGCGGUGAAUACGUUCCCGGGUCUUGUACACACCGCCCGUCACACCAUGGGAGUGGGUUUUACCAGAAGUGGCUAGUCUAACCGCAAGGAGGACGGUCACCACGGUAGGAUUCAUGACUGGGGUGAAGUCGUAACAAGGUA
RNAcentral lists this ribosomal RNA (1476 nucleotides) under uncultured beta proteobacterium. Its description in RNAcentral is "16S ribosomal RNA". It matches the Rfam family "Bacterial small subunit ribosomal RNA". The record is from RNAcentral. Lineage: Bacteria; Pseudomonadati; Pseudomonadota; Betaproteobacteria.